This 89-nucleotide small nucleolar RNA is filed under the name Carlito syrichta (Philippine tarsier). RNAcentral describes it as "Small nucleolar RNA SNORA40 (ENSTSYG00000024564.2)". It matches the Rfam family "Small nucleolar RNA SNORA40", at positions 40 to 128 of the family's 128-position model. Rfam says of the family: The snoRNA ACA 40 belongs to the H/ACA family of snoRNAs and guides the pseudouridylation of 28S rRNA subunit at position U4565. The record is from RNAcentral. Lineage: Eukaryota; Metazoa; Chordata; Mammalia; Primates; Tarsiidae.
AGUAUGGAGAGGUACAAAAAAUGAAUCCUCUUUUGCAACCCAGAACUCAUUAUUCAGUAUGAGUUUUGAUACAUAUAAGAAAGGAAAAA